This 1288-nucleotide long non-coding RNA is filed under the name Homo sapiens (human). RNAcentral's name for it is "HSALNT0255039". Lineage: Eukaryota; Metazoa; Chordata; Mammalia; Primates; Hominidae. The record is from RNAcentral.
GGGCUGACCUUGGCUGCUGUGGGUCAUUAGUGAUGAGGCCCAGAACCUCAGCUGGGGCAGAACGAGUUCCUGCUACCCAGGGCCGGCCUGUCUGGGGGCUGCCUAGAAGUCGCCCUGUGGUCCUCUACAGUCAUUCCUGUGUGAGGACGAGACACACACUUUCCACUUGCUGGAGAGGAGGGUCUGGGUGGCUUUUUAUUGGUGCAUUCACCCUCUCAGAUACUUCCUGAUCAGUAUGAGCUGGGUAAACAGCCAAUUCAGAUGGCUCAGACUCCCGGAAGAGGAGCGCUUAGCCCAAAUUACUGGUAUUAGCCGUCCGCAUUCAACCUCAUCUUAACCAUGAAAUUUGCACGGUAAAAAAGAGAAUUUGACUUACACAGAAAUGCAACUGUGUCUUCAUCGUUCCACUCUACAGUAAGCUUCAGAGGGCUUUCAUCCAUUCAGCCUUCCUUCUUUCCAUCUUUAAUUGUUUUGAAAUUCCAUUUGGAUGGAAAUAUUUCAAAUAUUUAUUUUUUGUUUUUAUAUAUCUUUUUGCAGUUUUUAUGGUUUUAUUUAAACACAAAACAUGCACAUGAGCCGUCUACUCAUUUUCUUCACUGCGCAGCCUGGCAUUGGGGUUGGUGACUCUGACGGCAGCUGGGCGGCCCUUUCCACGAUGGUUUUGUUUCUUGGAGGAAACACUGUGAGCGAUCUCAGCACAGGGAGAUUUGUUGCACAUCAGCACUUCCAGCUCCUUGACGCUGGGGACCAGGAACUUCCGGAAGCCACUGGGCAGCAUGUGCUUUGUUUUUUGUUGCUCCCAUGAGCCACUGCUCCUGGCCCAAAUAUUUAUCUUUUAAAAUGUAUGCAGAAGUGAAACAUGCUUUCCAAGAGCAGCAACAGGCAGGGUCACCCAGCACCCAGGUGGAUACUUGGGCCGCCAAGGCUUCUGGAAGCCAGGACAAAUGGAAAGAAUAUUGGAACAUGGAAAGGUCUGAAAGGUGGCAAUUUGUCCAAAUCUACAGUUGAAUCAGAAGAGAAGCGGUGGGUCAGGAAGAGGGUGAUUUGAGUUCUGUUUCAUCAGACUCAUCUCUGUUUCUCUUUCCAUCUCUCAGGCGGAGUUAGAACAUUCCAUUUUUUUAUCCAAAAUUAUCUUUUGCUCGGAUUUGGGAACUGACUUAAUACGGAGCUGGGAAUGGAGACACCAAAAACAGAACCAGACAAAGCUGAGGGUUUGUUCUCGCCCCUCCUGGACAGCGUGAGUUGCUCGCUGCUUUCAGGCCCUGUCUGAAGUCAUCCCCAACCCCAC